UGUAGUUCUGAAGCUUAAUUUUGUUCCAACGCUAAACAGGGUUGGUCAACAGGUUUUAGUAAUUUAAUUAGCCUUAAACAUUUUCGCAUGGUGGUAAUUAACACUCACUUAGUCACUUAUUGUUGGUGUUCCCUUGAAGCUGGGAGUAUUGUUAUUGCAGAUAAUUCUAUCAAGUCUUGGCUUAGCUUAGCUACUACGGAGUAUUAAGAUUAAAGGCUUAAGCUACUAUUAAGAUUAAAGAUGGUUGUGGGCCCGACCCGGCACAGGCACGAAGUCGUGGCCAUAAUUUUUUGGAAAAAGCACGCAAAAUUUUGUAAAAUCAGCCUUAGGCACGACGGCCGGCCCGGCACAAAAGCCCGUGGGCUCGUGCCGGGACUAGGCAUUGUUUUGAACUUUUCGGCCCGGCCCGCUACGAUACAACGUGGGCCUAGAUUGUGCCUGGUCCGGCUAGGCCCACGACCCGUGGUCUUGACACGAAGCCCGGCCCGGCCCACGACCAUCUUCAAUUAAGAUGAUAUGGUGAUGCCAACAAUGGAGGCAUGGAGCUUAGCUUGCAUGGGGUUACAGGUUGUUAAAUGGAUGAGUUGGCAGGCAGUGCCUAAAAAGUAUUCCAUUUCGUUUGAAUUCUGAUAAUUAGGCUGCCUUCUACGCAGUGUUAGGAGAGGCACAACACAAGAAAGAAUGUCUUCCUGAGAAGAGGGAAUAAGAAGGGCAGAUUAAGUAAGAUCUAUUGAAUAUUGUUGUUGAGGAAACCAGACAGUAACAUUACACUAUUAGUCAUUAGUCAGCAGUAACAUUACACACUUAUCUAGAAUCUUGCAGAUCAAAGCCAGGAGCUAUUCUCACAAAAUACUUUCUUCUACCCAAACCCUGUUAGCAUCGAUCUACUCCCUCCGUUUCUUUUUGUUUGUUAUAUACGUAGUAUUCCUUUUUUUUAAUGCAGAUUACAUAGAUCAACGCGGUGAUGUUUCAUGCCUUCAUAAUUAAUUUAAAUUUAGAAAAUGUAUUAAGUUCUUAUUUGACAACUAUAGACCGGGCCGGGGCUGCAUAUAUCUUACCAGUUAAUCAAGGACUUCUAGUUGAUCAUCAAGUUGAUGACAUGAUAUAAUUAAAGAUUAUAAGCAUCCUCAAGCAGUUGAGACCAUACAUGAAAGAUACUAUAUGCUCUAGACAAAUAAACAAAAAGAUGGAGAUAAGAUUUGUCAAGUUUUGAUUCUCUAAAGCAUAUAUGCAACGUGAAAAUAUAAAAAUAUUACAAUUUUCACGACUAUAUAAGAACACCUUGGACGUUCCUCAUUUGUAUCUCACUCAAGCAAACCAAACCCAAUCAAUCAUAUAUACUCCAGUAGUAGUAAUCCCUCCAAACAAAACCAACAACAAUGUUUUCCAUCCCUGGCCAAGACUCCCCCUCUGGCGCUUUCGGAAAUACCGUAACUGGUACGGUGACUAAUGCCAUCCCUGGCCAAGACUCCCCCGGCUUUUUAACUGGCCCCUUUGGCGGAGCAGCCGCCUUUGGCGCUUACGGAAAUACCGUAACUGAUACUGUGACUAAUGCCAUCCCUGGCCAAGACUCCCCCCUGGCGCUUUAGAAAAUUCCGUAACUGGCCCUGUCACAGAGGUACUGCUAAUGGACAGCAACCAUGCAUGGUGUUAGUAUAAUAAAAUGUCCUCUUAGCCUCUAAGAAUAGGCUACUUGUUACGGGCCAUUCAUACGAUGUGUGCUUUGCGAUCUUGUACUGUAUUUUGUUUGACUAUGUAUUUCGGUUUUCUAAUGAAGUUAUAAUACAUGGUUUUUGUUUUAAAAGAA
Molecule: long non-coding RNA, 1807 nt
Organism: Spinacia oleracea (spinach)
Lineage: Eukaryota; Viridiplantae; Streptophyta; Magnoliopsida; Caryophyllales; Amaranthaceae
Exons: 2
Source: RefSeq, a predicted model, not a curated record